AAGCGGAGGAAAAGAAACUAACAAGGAUUCCCUUAGUAACGGCGAGUGAACAGGGAAAAGCCCAGCACCGAAGCCUGUGGUCAUUUGGCCAUUAGGCAAUGUGGUGUUUAGGUCGUCUCGCUGGAGCACUGUGCCACCCUGAGUCCAUCAAUGAGUACGGCAUGUGACUUGGCCCAUAGAGGGUGAAAGGCCCAUGAGGGUGGUAUACAGCAUUGAUAGUGCUCCUCUGAGUAGACCUUGGAGUCGGGUUGUUUGUGAAUGCAGCCCAAAGUGGGUGGUAAACUCCAUCCAAGGCUAAAUACUAACACGAGUCCGAUAGCGAACAAGUACCGUGAGGGAAAGUUGAAAAGUACUUUGAAGAGAGAGUAAACAGUGCGUGAAGCCGCUCAGAGGUAAACAGGUGGAGUUGAACUGCAAGCUUUGAGAAUUUAAUUGGUGAGCAUUGUUAUGCUUGGAUUGCUGGUUGAUCUUUGGAGUCUGCUUAGCUGCAGGCCCUGCCUCGGUAGGGUGCGAGAAAUCACUUGCCAAGUGUUGUGCGCUCCAGAGGUAUUCGAGCCUGUUCGCCAGUGCACUUUCUCAGAGUGGUCACCACGACCGGAGGUCUUUGUCUUUCUGCUGUGGUCGAACCGGAUGUGUAUCGUCCUUGUGRCUUUAUGCGUUCGGGAUGGCAGGUAGCCUGUGUCUGCUCGCGGAUACGGGUGUAAUCAGCUGACUGCGGUUUGAUUGUGCAUUGCUCCGGAGACGGCGGCUUAUGGUGCAUACAUGCGUGCCUGUCUGGUUGGCUUGUGCGGCUUUGGUUGGCGUGUUGCUCGUAAAAACGGGCCUGCUGAUGGGCUGCGCUUGUCUGACUGGCGGUUGCGUGUGGAGCACGUCUAAGAGCCUAUAGUCUGUGGUGUAGUGGUAGACUUUCCACCUGA
Molecule: ribosomal RNA, 917 nt
Filed under: Tergestia sp. SCC-2014
Lineage: Eukaryota; Metazoa; Platyhelminthes; Trematoda; Strigeidida; Fellodistomidae
Description: eukaryotic LSU rRNA
Rfam family: Eukaryotic large subunit ribosomal RNA
Source: RNAcentral